Molecule: long non-coding RNA, 2469 nt
Organism: Apis laboriosa (Himalayan honeybee)
Lineage: Eukaryota; Metazoa; Arthropoda; Insecta; Hymenoptera; Apidae
Exons: 4
Source: RefSeq, a predicted model, not a curated record
AAACCUCGAUAACCUAUCGUCCCCUCCCAGCCCCUCCUCCUCCGUGGUCCCGUUCUCCUAUCGCGCGGAUCUCGCAUCCCCUCGCCAUCUUUUAUCUCCUCCUUUGCCUAAUUCCAACCAGCAAUUAUCGCGAUAACGGAGAGACUCUGGAUUUGUUUUAUUAUUUUUUUUUCUUAUUUAUUUAUCCCAAUCGUUCUAUCUUUCGUUCGCGUUAUCUCGAUUCGUGAAACUCCUACAGCUUACCUGGCCACUCCCCCUUCUCCCCCUUCCUCCUUCCUCGUCAAAUCCGACUUCGUUUCGUCGUCGAAUUGAUCUCGUGAUAAAAAUACGCGCGAUAAAUAUGUAAAAAAAAAAAAAAAAAGUACGAAAAACAAACCCGUUUCAAAAUUUAUUAUAUUAUUUCUUUCUUGGGAAACGUAAGCGUCUAUCGUUUCAAACGAAUCAACGCGAGGAAAGGAAGAAUUAAUUCUCGAACGAAAUAUCUAACGUAUAAUUCUCGAUUGUUAUCGGUUUUCGUUACCGAUGUUGUUUACCGAUGAUAAAUGGAGAGUCGCUCAAAAUAUCAGAACGUGCUCGCUCGUCCGUGGUUCGAUCCGUGGACGCGGUAAGGUCACGUUCAUUGUACUUGCGGAACACGAUAAUUUAAAAAGCUGGUGUUCCGUCCGUUACCGUUUCGUUUCACCGAAGUUCAUUGCUAAGGCCAUAUCUUUUAAUUCGACGAUUUUGCGAUUCGCCGAGGAAGCUGCGGAACGCAACGCUCCUCAUUGGCAUCGUUGUACUCGAUGCAAUGAAUCAUCAAGCAUUGACGGUGUGGGGUCGCUCGCGCGCGCGCGUGCGUGCUCACAGAUCGAAGCGACUGGCCAGCAGACACGAGAUCGAACGUUUAUUCGAAUCGCUUGGGAAGAUUCCACUUGCCCUCGUGCACUCGUGCUCGCCUCGAACAAUGCCGAUUAAUUUGGUCGAGAGUCACGCGUCGCCGUGCGAUGUCAGUUCGGUUAGGCCCGCCGGUCGUCGUCGAUCAACGUGACGACCGAUGUGAGACACGAGCGACGCGCGUCAUCGUUAUUACGCGCGUCUCGUAUUACGCAACGAAACGUAUAGGCGGGAAAACGAUCCGAGAACGGGACACGGAAGGACGCGAGGCAAGGCAAGGCAAGGCGAGGUGAAGCAAGGCGAGGUAGGCGAGUGAUUGCUCGUGGACGAGGAGAGGCCGAUUGGCGUAGUCUACGAGGUGGUCUCAGCUGUGAGAACAGGGAUGCAUCUUCCCUGAAACAAAAGAAAAUUCGAGGCACGGAUUAAUAUACGUCCCAAUAGUACCGCGAGUUCGAUGAUGAAUCGUGGUCGGAAAUCGAAAGGCGGCUGAAUCGUGGUAUCCACCGUUGAAAGCGGUGAAGAGAUUGAACGGAAUGUCGCGUGAUCUAUUCGACGAGGCUUUGAACGAACGAGAGUUUUUGACGAAACAUCUGUCGAAUAAAUAAAAAAAAGAAAAAGAAAAAAAAAACAAGACGAGUUUCUAUCUUCGUUUCGGUUGAUAUUUUAAGAUCAAGUAUCACGAGUGGAUUUGAUGGAGGUGACAAAUUGCACAUGUCUCGUUAUCCAUAGCAAAGAGAGUAUCGUGAUAUGCAUGAUACCUUCACGACGAAAAACCAUGCGUUGGGAUUGGUCGAAGAAAGAACGAGGAAGGGAAGGCAAAGGGAGUGUAAAGCCAAUUGCGCAUGGAAAUAGGUCGGAGCGGAGGGCUCGCGGUAUCGAGAGGGCACAUGGUGACGAUGACGACAAUAAUGACAACCAGAAAGGAGCAAAAAUUUUGUAAUGCAUUUCUUCUGAUUCUCGUUCGACCGAAUUAUCAAACAGAAAGAUACCAUGUAUACAUGCUAUAUAACAAAAUGGAAGAUUAAGAUAUAUAGACAAUGAGCAACAUACAAUUAUCUAUCAUUACGACUGUGUACAAAAUAUAAUGAAGAAUUAAUUCUUAUUCGCGUAAUAAAACUGUUAUUAUUAUUAUUAGAUAAUUCAAUAAUGCACGUUUUACUUAAAACAUUGCAAUAUAACUGCUGUAUAUUUGUAAUUUGCGAAAUAUGAAAACGCACGUUUCGAAUAAUCGGCAAUAUCUAUCUCUUAUUUUCUUUCACGAUUCGAACUAAGUAUUUAUCAAUGAACGUGACCCAAUUGGUCAACGUCCACGUCAAUCCAUUGACCUUGACAAUUUUACCGAAUAUUUAAAAUAAUCUAUAUCGAUUACGGAACAUACGCAAAAGAUUAUCGAAUCUUAAAAGAUUAUUUUUCUCAAUUUUAAAAUCGUGCAUUUAUUUGUAUGUCCUGAAAUAUUAAAAAUAAUUUUAGUAAAUAUGUAAAAAUCAAAAUUAUUUUUUAAAAUUAAAAAAAAAAAUCGUUCGACUUUAAUUCUAAUUCAAAUCUAAUAAUCGAUUUCUAUAUUGAUCAUGUCUUAUGAUUAUCGUCAUAUUUAUA